This 301-nucleotide ribosomal RNA is filed under the name uncultured bacterium. Its description in RNAcentral is "partial 16S ribosomal RNA". It matches the Rfam family "Bacterial small subunit ribosomal RNA", at positions 509 to 807 of the family's 1533-position model. The record is from RNAcentral.
CAGCCGCCGCGGGAAUACGGAGGGAGCUAGCGUUAUUCGGAAUUACUGGGCGUAAAGCGCACGUAGGCGGCUUUGUAAGUUAGAGGUGAAAGCCUGGAGCUCAACUCCAGAAUUGCCUUUAAGACUGCAUCGCUUGAAUCCAGGAGAGGUGAGUGGAAUUCCGAGUGUAGAGGUGAAAUUCGUAGAUAUUCGGAAGAACACCAGUGGCGAAGGCGGCUCACUGGACUGGUAUUGACGCUGAGGUGCGAAAGCGUGGGGAGCAAACAGGAUUAGAUACCCCCGUAGUCCCUGUCUCUUAUAC